Molecule: long non-coding RNA, 740 nt
Filed under: Homo sapiens (human)
Lineage: Eukaryota; Metazoa; Chordata; Mammalia; Primates; Hominidae
Description: long intergenic non-protein coding RNA 1503
Source: RNAcentral
CACUGUGGCCGGGGCAUGGCUCCUUCACCCCGGGGCUCACCCUCGGUGUCCGUGAAGUCCAGCCGACGGUGACCCUAAGUCCUCCCUCCACUCGCCUAUGUUUGGGGAUAGCCCAUCCUUCCUGCAGGCCUUUGUCUUGGUGUCACCCUGCCUGAGCUGGCCCCAACCACAGUAGCAACAGUGAUGCUGAUGUGUGACUGCUGCCAGGAGCCUGCUCACAUGACCGUGUGGAGAAAGUUCUUUCCCUGAGGACCAUCUGGAGUGGACGCGUGCACUACCCCUCUCUGAAUACACCCUCCCCACGAGGCCCUCUGGAGCAUCCUGUAGAGCCAGCCCCUACCCAGAGACCCUGAGCCCAGAGAAUGCGCUGGGUGGUGAGCCUGGGGACGAAUGCAGAGCCCUAGGUCUCCUCUCCAGAAGUUGGAGUGCCAUGGUGUGGUCAUAGCCCACUGAAGCCUCAAACCUCUGGGCUGAAGCCAUCCUUCCGCCUCAGCCUCCCAAGUAGCUGGGACCAUAGGUGCAUGGCACUGUGCCUGGCACUGUCUGAAUGCAUACAGCUGCGUAGCAUCGUGGUAAGAACACCCGCCCUGACAUCACACAGACCUGCAUCCACGUCCCAGCUGAGCCUCAGUUCUCACAUCUGCAAAAUGGGGAGAACAACAGCAGCAGCGUCCUGAGGCUGGGGUGAGGACCGAGUGAAAAACCUUUGUCGCAUCUUUGGGCAUCGCAGGAGUUCAAUA